This is a non-coding RNA of Oryctolagus cuniculus (rabbit), 4006 nucleotides long. The record is from RefSeq and is a predicted model, not a curated record. Lineage: Eukaryota; Metazoa; Chordata; Mammalia; Lagomorpha; Leporidae.
AUUUAGGUAAUGACUUCAUUUAUUUAUCAAGUUGCUGCAUUUUUUUUGCCUUAAUUCCUAAUCUAUGAUGUAAGGAGGUUGCUGUAGAUGACACCAGAGUCCCCUCCCAAUGCUGGGAUGUUUGCCUUCUGCUAUGCUCUGCCUAACUUUUGAACUCCCAGUGCAUUCUCUGCCAGCUUGGAAUCUUAUGUGUGUUUUUUAACCCUUGUAUUUUGAAGAAAGUUAUAGAAAGAUAAUACACAAAAUUCACAUGUACUCUUCAUCCAGCGUCCCCUGAUGUAAUAUUUAAUAAUUAUGGUGUAUUUAUGAACACUAAGAAAUUAAUAUUGGCACAGUGGUAAACUCAGACUUUAUUUGGAUUUUACCAGCUUUCCACUAAUGUCCUUUUUCUGUUCCAGGAUCCAAACCAAGAUAUUGUUUAGCAUUCAGUUCUUAUGAAUUUUUAAAUAAAGAGUUCACCAUUUUUUAACAGUUUAUGGAGACAUUAGGAUUAUUAGGAGAUUGAAAACUGAAUACAAAGAAUUCUUCCUGCAGUAAUUAAGUGUAUCAGCCACCCUCUGCGACUUAGGGAUCUCAGGAAUGUUGAGCAUCAAAGGUAUGAGAAAAAUGUUUUCCCCAUAAGAAAUUCUGCAGACUUUCCUGUUGAUGAUGAUGGGGACACUGGUGAGAUAUGGACUGCCUCAUGCAACUAAUUAGACUGAGUUAGUCUCUUGCGACAUAUAUUUGAGGGGCUCACUUUGUUCCAGGUCCAUUGUAGGCGCUGAAGAGACUAUGAUCAUGAGACAAAGUCUCUGUGUUCGAAAAGCUUCUGUUUUCAUCAGGUAAACAAGCAAUGAACAACACAUAUCAUUGGUGACAAGUGCAUCACAGGAUACAGGGGGGAAGUGUUCUUUGACACACCAGAGGAAAAAGAAGUGAUGACAUGGAGAACACUCUUUCUCUGAAUGUGGACUGCAGAAUGAAGAACUGAAUGCCACAGACACAGAGCUAAGAGACAACACAAGCAGGAGCUGUGAAUCCAGGGUUCCUGAUUGCAAGCCUGGGGCAACUUCCAUCACAUGACACAUAGCUUAGCCUCACUAGAACAUCUCAGCUUUCUCUUGUCCCACAGAGGACCUGGUGCACAGCCACCUUUUCCAACCCAAGUUAGAGAACACCCCCGAGCACACUCUGAGAUGGCAAGAUACUAGGGGACCCAGGUGAAAUCUCCUGGCUCUAGUUAGUGACAGAGGCCAUAUCCAUACUUCAGACUGGGACCUGAAGUGUGGUUCUCAGCAGAGAAACCAGGAUAAACCCCAGCAUCACAAGCCACUCAGCCAGGAUGGCACCUCCUUCUAAAGACAGUGCCCCCCGAGCAGACCUCUUUGGCUGAUCCUAUGUCUGCGAUCAAGUCUCUGUUCAGCGUCCCUCCCCUCUCUUUAAACAAACUUGAAGCUAAUUUUGUUACACAAGGCAGCCAGAUUGCACAGCAGUGUGACCAACUCUUCCCCCUGAACAGAUUAAGAGCCUGAAUCCAAUAGGAAGAUGUAAUUGCUCCCCAGCCUGUGAGAAAUUUCUUUCCUUCCAGAUUUUUCUGCGAGACGGGAGUCUGAACUCAAAGUCAUAAUUAUCUAAAAAACACGUUCCUGGUAAUUGGUAUCAGUCCCCAGGCAGCUGAGUCCUAGCGUAAAGAACUUGUUUAGCUUGUUUGUGAGUGCCCAACCCUCUGAUCAGUGAGAGAAAAGGAGAAACAGAGAGUGGAGGGAGGAAGAGAAAGGUCCCUCAACCCUGUCCACCAAAGAUGCAGAGGCAGGGAGGUGGAACAGACUCUCAUCCGUCAGCCUCUCACUUGGCUCCCCAUCGGCCAAAAACAUCAUGUAAUUUCACCUUCCUGUUUUGCGUUUUCUUCAAGUAGUUUGGGAAUAUAUGAUAACUCAACCACGGGUUGUCCAGUGUAAAGCUAAACAUCAUUUGAUGUGAACAAGGGACGCCAGCAUGCUUGAGAAAGCCAAGCACGAUUUCAGGGGUGAACUGCAGUUCUGUGAAGCCUGCAGCGAUCACGCUGUGUGACCCUUCAGGUGGAAGCUUAGAGAGCUCAGUGUCUGGGGCAAGGUCACCCGUAUGUCAUUAGCACCAGCAGCAAACCCAGGCUUCCUGACUCAGAGGCCAGAGCUCUUCCUCCGGGAUUGGAGGAAUCACUGCAGAGUGUAUUUCACUGUGGCUCUUCUGAGGGGUGUUAGAAGGUCCUGUGACCACACGAAGGUUCCUCUGAGAGAGGAGAACCAGAGGGAGAGUUGUAACUUGGUUGUUUCCAUCCUGCAUGCGAGACAAUGGGCUGGCUGUGGGGAGUCUGGACACUCUCCUCAAGGAAAUCUGGUCUGUGCACCAGCCAUUUGUCAGACAGAGUUUGAGAUCACUAAAUUGGCUUGCCACAGGCAGCAAGGGUAGAUGAAGAUGGCCCAGCAAAAGCUGUCCAAGUAGCCUACUGCCUCAGUUCUCCCACUCCCGGCUGCCUGUGGGACCCCUCUCCCUACCCAACCUACAAACUGGUAGAGUCCCUCCCCAGUCAGGAAGUCAUGCUUGUCUCCAUCCCUUUAGGACCAAGAGCUCUAGCACACAUGGGGGCUGUGGCCUGGUUCUCCCAUCACAGAAUCAGCUGUUGCGCUGGGGCCCAGGUUGGGUUAUGGCAGCCAGCUCUCAUAAGCCCAUCCCAGUUGCUUAACACCCAGUCUUAGGAGCAGAGACUGGAUCUGCAACCAAAUCCCUGUUUUCCAGUGGAGGAAAUGUUGAUCUCUACCACAGUCUCUCUGCUUAUAGGUUUUAUAAAAUAACGUAUAGAUAGGUUUUGAGCAUGAGAUGAGAUAAUCCAGGUAAAGUACUUAGCUUAGUGGCUGCUCAGGGUAAGCACUUGAUCAAUGGCAGCUAUAUCAUUGCUUAGAGACCUCCUCUCUGGCCUGGCUCCUUCACCUAUCAGGAUCUUUUCUCCUUGAACUUCCUGCAAUUGUUUUGUCUUCUGGCUGUGUGACCCUAGGCUUAAGCCUGACAACUCCAGAGCCCCACUCCACCAAGUGCUGCUCCACCAAGGGCCUGCUGGAACCCUUCUCAGGGCCCUGGUGUUUUCUGCAUAUACAGUCCACCAGCUGGGCUUCCUCCUCACUGCGCAUGCUUCCCUCCCUCAGGGUCAGCCUUUACCCUCUCACCCAGCGCCGCUGCAGUCCAGCUCCACUGAGGCUGCUGUGAAUCAACCCGCCUAGCUGUCAGUGGCUCCUGAGCCAGGACUGGGGCUGGGCCCUCCUGGAAGAAGCGCAAGUCCAUGCCACUGACUUGCAGUCACGCAAGUCAGGCAGAGUGCAGUCACGCAAAGGCAGCACCUCUCUCUAAACACUUUUAGGAAACUGGUUUCCAGCAACGCAGGCCACUUUAAAUUCCAGCAGAGAGAAGGACCUCGGGUCUCAUAAUCAAGAGGGCACAUUUCAUCAAGCCAGCAGAGAACUGUUCAAUUACACUUCCCUUUGCUUCAAUUUCUUUUUCUUCUCUUCCCCAGUCACUGGCUCUAAAUCAAUAUCUCUCACACUAUCUAUUCUGAGGGCCCAAUUGUUUGCUUUUCCCACACUAUAGUGUACCAAUACUUGUGUAAAACAGCAGAAAUAAAUUGCUACAGAAUAAAAAUGUCAUUCGAUUGUCACAGCAAUGUGAAAUUGCUGUAAUUUCUUCAAUAUUUUCCAUUUCUACACUUAAUCAGACCCACACCAUCCCCUGGGCCACACUGAGAGUAUUGCUGCUUCUGAAAGGAACGGAACCCCAAAAGGGUCCAUCUGCCUCAGACGCCCUCCCUGCCUGGGCAUUUGUCCUGUGAUAUUUGUCCACUCCGCAGUAGCUCUGCCCCACCCAGAGCAUGCAAUGGCAAGCUGGGGGUGUGGUUUGCAUAGGCUUUAGGUCGUUUUGAUCCCCAAGAGUCCAGCAGCCCUCAGGGUAAGGUAGUGCAGCAAUGUCCCCAGCCCAAGUGUGGCAGCAGCCCCUUACCAUU